Molecule: unclassified non-coding RNA, 284 nt
Filed under: Hevea brasiliensis (rubber tree)
Lineage: Eukaryota; Viridiplantae; Streptophyta; Magnoliopsida; Malpighiales; Euphorbiaceae
Source: RNAcentral
AGGCACAACUAUUCAAGGCUUACCUUGUUCGGUGUUGGCAAGUAAAAUAAAAAUUUGGUAGUUGAAUAUACCUAUUUAGUGAGAAUCCUUUAGUUCCGCAGAGUUGGUGGUUCUAAGGUGAUUUAGGAUGUCAGUAUUUUCUUGCUGUACAAGCUUCAUUUUCCAUUAUCGCUUGGGAAAUAUCACUUUAUUACCACAAUUGCUAUAGUAUUGUUUUUGGAAUGGAUUGGAAUUUGGACCGGUGAACUUUCAUAUAUGACAGUAUUCUGUUUUAUUUAAAAAAC